GAGCUACAGCUAUCUUCAUAAUCUUCUCGUUGAUCUGGGCUAUGUUUAUCUAUGUGACUCCAUUGCAGGUGGUUGCUGUGUUGGUUGGGCUUUACAUGCUACGCCAUCCACGGUUCAGGAACAAAAUGCCUUCCGUACCUGUCAAUUUCUUCAAGAGAUUACCAGCAAAAUCAGAUAUGCUACUGUAAAAAGUCAAGGCACUAUAAUCAGUUACCAUUCAUUUACUCCAUUAUUGUGCAGAAGCCAGUAAAUAAAGUCAUAUCUGCUAUAAUUAUAAUUGCAGAAUACAGGAAAAGCAGCUAUUUGCGUUUGAUUACCUGCUGUCCCACCAGCUAUAAAAGAAUCCGACUUUUUCCAGAGUUCCAUAUUUUAACUUGUUUCUGUAAAAUUCACCUUGGGUAACGACCAUUCUUUUUGGCACUGUCUUUCCAGAUUUCUAUUUAGGAAUAAGCACUCAUAGCUUGUACUUCUUGAAGCAAUAUCCAAAAAGUCAGCUGAGUAAACAAACUGCUGGCAGCUUAUCAGUACAUUCAACAGCCAACUAACUCAAAGUUCUAAGGGGAUAGAUGGAAGUGUUAUUAAUUAUAUGAUAAAAAAUUUAACAGAGUUCUGACAGAUGAUAUAAUUGACUCAAAAUUUGGCAACAAAGAAGCUCGCUUCUAGGAUUGAUUACUCUAAAAAUAAAGAGAAAAUCCAUACAUGGUACUAAUCUUUGAUGAAAUUUCUCUCCAAAAAAGCAGAUGUUCUGUUUUGGCUUAGGUGGCUAUCAAAACGUGUGAAGAAAAAAUUUCUUUCCUUGGUCUGAUUUAAUAGUUUAUGGAAACUUUGUGUAUAUUGCAGUUUACUUUUGAUCUUUGACAUGUGACAUGAAAGUUUGUUAGACUGAUGUCUUUAGUGAUUUGCCUCUGACAAAUAUAUCAACAUUAUGUGAAGAUAAUGCUAAGUGCAGUUUACGUACUCAUUUCAGUUGAUAAAAUUCUAGAAGGUAAUUUUUGUUGCAUUUUAUUGUCAUCUACUCUGGCUUGAUUUAAUAAGCAACAUCAUGGUGUUUUCCUAGUUUCCUGCCAACAGAGAUACUAGGGAUAGUUGGUCUCUUGGAUGAUCUCCUCAUAAUCUUGAUCUUCUUUCUCCAUAUUACUGCUUUAUAUCAGUCAGUAUUCUAUUUCCGGCAUGAAGGUAGUUCUUGAACUCAGCUGAAUCAAUUGUAUAACUUUUUUAAUUCAAAAAAGUAAUUCACAGAAAUUUAAUAAAAAAUAUUACAGGGAUGUGAUUUUGUAGAGAAAUCUAUCACAUAGUAUACACUAGUCUCCAUUAUAUUGUUAUUGUUCUCCCCAUUUUAUUAUUGUUUUGUACGAUACAGUCCCAUUUCACUAGGGAUAUGAUAAUAGAACUAUAGAAAUUAGAAUUUGAUUAUCUUGAUUGAUUUUGUAUAUGAAUAUAAUAUAUUAUAAUAAAAAAAUGCGAUAAAUUUUGUAAAUGAUAUACUAUGAAGACUCGUUUGGAAGUAGUAAAGUAAUUGGACAACGACAAUAUCAACAUUUAUAUGAUAGAAAAGUGAAAUCCAUAUNNNNNNNNNNNNNNNNNNNNNNNNNNNNNNNNNNNNNNNNNNNNNNNNNNNNNNNNNNNNNNNNNNCAUGGUUCUAUAUUAGCGUCGACCUCUUUUAUGAUCUAUUGUGAAUGAUUAUGCAUGCCCAUGUCCAUCAGUAGAUGUCGGUGUAAUAUAUAGUAAAUAUAUCACCUUGAAAAUUAGGGGCAUCUUUGCUCCUGAAUCAUGCUCUUUCUGUAAGAUAAUUUAGAUUAUUCUUUAGAAAGUUACAUUAUGUUAGUUUGGCAAUAUAGAUCCACUUUUCAGCUACGUAAAUGUUCAUUGUGUCAUCGUCCAAUUACUUUAUUGCUUCCAAACGAGUCUUCAUAGUAUAUCAUAUACAAAAUUUAUCGCAUUUUUUUACUAUAAUAUAGCAUAUUCAUAUACAAAAUAAAGCAAAAUACAAAAUCUCUAAUUUCUAUACUUGUAUUAUCAUAUUCCUAUUCAACUAGCCAAAUGCAACUAUAUCAUACCAAACAACAACAAAAUGAGAAGAGCAAUAACAACAUAAUGCAGAGUACUAUAUACUACGCGAUAGAUUUAUCUAUAAAAUCACAUUUCUGUAAUAUUUUUUAUUAAGCUUUCUGUGGGUUACUUUUUUGACUUAAGAGAGUUAUACAAUUGCUCCAGUUGAGUUCAAGAACUGCUUCCAUGUCGGAAAUAGAGUACUGACCCAUAUAAAAACAGCAAUAUGGAGAAAGAAGACCAAGAUUAUGAGGAGAUCUUCCAAGAGACCAACUAUCCCCAGUAUUCUUGUUGGUAGAGGAAAACAAGAUGGCAUUGCUUAUUAAAUCAAGCCAAAAUAGAUGAUAAUAAAAUGUAACAAAAAUUACUUUAUGAAAUUAUAUCAAUUGGACUGAGUACGUAAACUGCACUUAGUAUCGUCUUCACAUAAUGUUGAUAUAUUUGUCAGAGCCAAACCACCGAAAACAUCAGUCUAACAAACUUUCAUAUCAUAUGUUAAAGAUCAAAAGACAAAGUUUCCAUAGAUUAUUAAAUCAAACCAAGGGAAGAAAUUUUUUCUUCACACAUUUUGAUAGCCACCUAAGCCAAAACAAAAUAUCUGCCUUAAUAAUUUUGAUAGCUUAAAGCUCAAAUGAACAAUUUUUUUAAAAAGUAAAAAUAUUAUAUAUCAUUAGAUACAAGCACUAAAAGAGUGUCAACCAAUGUACAAAAUUUUUUAAAAGAAAGCGUAAAUGAUUUUCUUUUUGGAAAAAAAAAAUGAAGAAAAAAGCAUAAUAAGUACAUUAAGAUCAAGAGUUAAAUAAAUUUUCAUAUAACAUGCAGAAUCUUAUGGGCAAACCAAAUAACUAAACAUGAUCUCAGUUAGAGGGGAAGAACAGAAAAUCAGCUCCGGUCAACAAUUAACAAUAUCCCCAUAGCAGGUGGUGCGUAUUAGAUAAUUGAGGUAGUUCAAGAAACACCCAAGUCGGCUACAUUGCAAAAGGGACAAUCGUCAUAGUUGAAUGGUUUCUUCAAUGUCAAUACAUGUUUUAGUUAGUCUUUCUUUAACAAAUUUCUAAUGUAACCUUACAUUUUUUCCACCGGUUACCGCUUUGCUUCUCAAGCCAUCAAAUGGGUCAUCCGAAAAUUGAAAAGAAAUAAAUACAAGGGGGUUUUGAGGGCAGUGGUUACCGUUUAUCGCAGGAAUAAGGCCUUAUGCAUGAGAGAGAGAGAGAGAGAGAGAGAGAGAGAGACUUAAUAAUCUCCAAACCUGUUAUUAAGCCCAUUGGCUCACCCAACGGCUGGGCUAUUCGUAUAUUUUAAGUUCAUAGACCGUGCUUUGGCAAAAAAGAGAUCCGAAAUAUAUAAGGUAAAACCUAGUAUUUUACGUUUUAAACACAAAUCAGCCAGAUCAAGCACACAUCUCUUAUUUAAUCUAAAACAUUUCGAUCUGAACCUAGUGUCAUGCGCAUGUUGUAAUUGAAAAGCAUAUUAGUUGGGCUGCUAUUACCAUGAAAAACUAAUUAAAAUGUUCUCCGGAACAAUAUUAAUUGUAUUUGAAUGAAAAAAUAUGACAAGACUUUUUUUAAAGGUGCUGGACAUGGAAUUACGAUGGAUUAGUAAUAGACCUGAAUAAUUGGGUCAGAAUCGAGUCAGGCAAACAAACCAAAUGCAACCUAGCUCAUGAAUACAUCUAGCCGCCUCUCUUAAGGAGGACCAAAGAGACUUUUAUUUUGCGUAAGUAACGUAACUACAUACUUCUCGUAAGCAAAUAGUAGGACCUUGGUGCCGUACUAAUAAUAUAUUCCCUUUUCUAGUGACAAAAAUGGUAAAAAUUAUAGGACUUAAGCUAUCAAAUUGGACCAAGAAAACACUCAAAACUGAGUGGGAGAAGAGGCAACAUCAAAAUUUUGUGAUCUAAAGUUCUACUCAUUCAAUUCUCUUUUUCUUUUUCUUCUUUUUUUUUUCAUAUUAUAGCUUGAAAGCAGAUAAAAAGUAGUAUAAUACAAUAUUUAUACUCUACCUUGUGGCAGAAGUCUGCUAGUUCACAAGCAUGGACCGAUCACAAACUAGUCUACCUUGUGGUAGAAUUAACUAACAUAAAUGGAUUCAAUUCUGACUCUGAUAUCAUGUUAAAUAAUAAGUUGAACUAGUAUUUUCAUAAACUUAAGCUGAUUAAAAAAAUUCUAUUGUUUGUAUUCUUAACAAUAACAAAAAGCUAAAAGAUGUUAGGUGGUAAGAUCUGUUGUAAUUUCAUGAGGAAGAGCACAGUAUUAUAAUCAACUCCAGCACAUAAAAAUUGGUAAGUUGGUGAUGCCAUGUGUAAUUUGAUGAUCCUUCCCAGAAAGAGACCAUUCCAAAAUUUUUCUUUAAACCCAAAACAUGUUUCAAGAUUAUCUAACGUCUAACAUGCACCUAAAUUAUGAUUUGAACACCAAUUUAAACAUGAACAGCACGCUUGAUUAAAACAGAAUGCAAAUGUUCAAACUCAACCCUAUUCAUUGAACACCAUUUCACCAUUUUUUAUUUCCAAACCAUAUAACAAUAAUUGUCUAAAAUUAAGCACCACUGCACGUUAGAAUUAGGUACUCUACUUACCUUAAUUUAGGCCAAAUUUUUAGGUAUUCAAAUUUCCUUAAAACAGAUUAAAGUCCUCACCAAUAGCUCCUUGCUUUUCACCCAGGAUCAGCAUGAGUGCUGAGUGUUUCCACCCUUGGUUCUCCCUAAUGGGUGAAUCGAUUUCACUUCUGUUUUCACCAAAAUGUACAUAACAUGUAAGGCUCCUUUUCUGAAAAUUUUCAGAAUUUUGGGAGUUAGUUUUAAGUGUCCAAAAAAUUCAAGAACUGAAGCAUAAGAAAUCUGGGUGCUUCCUAGAGGGGUUUCCUGGACCUUUCUGUGGUUCGGAAGCUAUUUCUCCUUCUACGAUUAUCUGUUUUAUUUGAUUCUUAUCUCUACAUUUUCUUUAAACGAGCCCUAUUACUAAGAAAAAUUUCAUAUUUUUCUGAGUAUCCUAAGAUAUUAAAAAAAGUCAGGAAAUAUUGAACAGAAUUUUAACGCCAUGCUUACCUGAGCUUCUGGUGUUAUUCCUUCAAUUUAUCCCUCUUGGAGAAAGUUUUCACUCCUCUGUUUCACUGAAAUUUACCUAAGUCAUAAGCCUAAACACCCCUCAAAUUUCAGAAUUUUUGGAGUUUUCUAGCCUAGGAAAAAAAUUUAAAAACAGAAGAGGAGGGAGGAAGCCACUUACAAUUUUUUCUUUCUUCCUCUCAGAUUACUUGCUCUCCUCUUAUUUCUCUUGGUUUCUCCUUGAGUUGGACGACCAAAAUGGGAGAUUUUGCUGUUCAAGUGGCCCUUUUAUAAUGAAGAAAGGAUGAGGGAUUAUGUGGGUAAGUUAGGGGUGAAAUGGAGAAAAUACCUUCUCUUCCAAUCCACCUGGUAAUAGUAAAGACAACAGAGAUUUUUACUCGGUUAUAUUAUGGAAAAGUAUCAUGGAAUUUAGAAAUAAUUGUAUCAGAGGUCUUAUAAUGCCAUACCUGGUCUAGGAUAGAAUUGUGAAAUAUGAAACUUGGGAGAACUUGUACUCCUUAACAAGACUCACUAUUUGAGCAAAAUCUUCAUCCGUUUCCCCUGAAUUGGUUGUUGAGAAAUGAUGAUUACAUGAAAUAUAAUCAAAUAUUGAAUAAUUUGCAG
This 5716-nucleotide long non-coding RNA is filed under the name Carica papaya (papaya). RNAcentral's name for it is "long non-coding RNA (CPAP_LNC007991)". Lineage: Eukaryota; Viridiplantae; Streptophyta; Magnoliopsida; Brassicales; Caricaceae. The record is from RNAcentral.